This 769-nucleotide non-coding RNA is filed under the name Phloeosinus perlatus. The record is from RNAcentral. Lineage: Eukaryota; Metazoa; Arthropoda; Insecta; Coleoptera; Curculionidae.
AAUUUGGAGUGUUUUGGCUGGUUUUUUUGUUUAAAAUAGUGUUUUAUGUGAGAUUUUUCUUUAUUUAUGUUUAUUUUAAAUAAUUUAUUUUUGUUAAUUUGCAGAGAUUAGUUUUAUUUAUUUAUUAAUUUAAGAAAUAGGAAUUUUUUUAGAAUAAACUAAACUUGUGCCAGCAGUAGCGGUUAUACAAGUUAUUCAAUAAAAAAUUUUUGGUUUUAGAUAGCUGAUUUUAGGAUUUAUUUUUAAAAAUAUUGAGUGAAAUUUUAUUUUUAUAUUAAUUUGUUUAGGGGUGUUUCUAGGAAAUUUUGUGAGAAACUAGGAUUAGAUACCCUAUUAUAAAAUAGUAGUUUGAAAUAUCAGAUUAGUAUUAGGAUUGUAUUUUCUUGAAAAUUAAAUAAGUUGGCGGUAUUUUAGUCUAUUCAGAGGAACCUGUCCUGUUAUUGAUAUUCCACGUUUUUAUUUACUUAGUUUGUUAAUUUGCAUAUCGCCGUUGUUGAAUAUUUUUUAAGAAUUUAAAUGUUCAAAAAUUUAUAAGAUAAAAAUUCAGGUCAAGAUGUAGUUUAUACCUAAGAAGAGAUGGGUUACUUUAUAAAUAUUUUAGGAUUUUUUUUUGUAAUUGGGGGGAUGAAAAAGGAUUUGAUAGUAAUAUUUUUAAGAUUUUAAUUAUGAUUUUAGCUCUAAAGUAUGCACAUAUCGCCCGUCGCUUUCACUUUUAAAGUGAAAUAAGUCGUAACACAGUAGGAGUACUGGAAAGUGUUCCUAGAAUCAA